RNAcentral lists this unclassified non-coding RNA (1442 nucleotides) under Caenorhabditis elegans. Its description in RNAcentral is "Non-coding transcript of protein-coding gene Y102A11A.9c". The record is from RNAcentral. Lineage: Eukaryota; Metazoa; Nematoda; Chromadorea; Rhabditida; Rhabditidae.
AUGCCUCCACCAAUCGGUCGAAAUAUCAGUGUAAAGCAUGGACGUUCGAAAUCAACUUCUGCAGCAACAGGAAAACUGCCACCAGUUGUUUCGCAAGAAACGCGAGAUCGAACGGAAGCUGUCAAAAAGACAUUUGAUCGACCAAAAACUGCGCAUCGGAAUUCUAGGCCUCCGACAUCGUCUCAUGCUCUCCCCUCGUUUGGUAACGGACGUAUUAUAACUGCAUCAAAGCACAUGAAAUUAGCAAUGAAGCGUUCUAAUUCGGAAACCAGACCACUGCCACGAAUAGAGUACGGGCGUUCUCCAAGCAGAGAAAAAAUGACAGAUUUGAGAGAUGAAUUGUUUCACGCUAAAAAGAAAGUUGCAUCUUACGAAACUGAUUUGAAAAAAUUGAGCACAGAAAUGCAACGUCUACGCAGAGACGCAGAAAAACGAGAGACAUUCCUGGAGCGUAUAGUGACGGCGCAGUAUCACCCUACGGAGCUGAAUGAUACCAAUUUGGCCAGGACGUUGACAUCAAUCAAACGGAAGGAAAUGGCAAAAGAAAACUUGAUUGACAUUCAAGCCAAGGAAUUAGAAAGACUCCGCAGUCUUUUAAAAGACAGCCAUAUUCCUCUAGGGUCAAAGCAUCCAACCGAAACAAUGACCGUAUCAGUUGCCAAAGAUUCAGAACUGGAUGUGGACAACGAAGAUUAUUCGGAUUACCCGGAGGAACCGGAUCUAGUGGAAACUGCUGGGCACUCAGAACGAGAUGAAGAAUAUGAUGAAGUUUUCGAAGAAGUACACAAUCGAAAGCUGGACAAAAGCAGAGUGAAAACAGCAUCUAAGGAAAGAAAUGAGUUGGCGAAAAAGUACGCAGAGCAAAACGCAAAGUUGAAACUGAAACUUAAAGAGGUCAAGAAUAACUAUGCUUCAAUGCUCGAGAAAAAUAAAAAGAAAGGUGAAGAAUUUAUCAAGCAAAGUGAAAACUCGAAAGCAGUUGUCGAAAAAACCGUCCAAAUCAGCACUGUUCUCGAUUCACUGCAGAAAGAACGUGAAGAUUUGUCAGAGAUCAGAAAGAAAAACGAGCAGAAAAUUGAAGGACUAUCGCAAGAGUUGAUUGAGGCUUACGGAGAAAUUGAUGCGUUGAAAAUGAACAAUGAGAAACUGCAAGAACAUUUGGGUGAUUUGGAGCAACGUGUUGGACAUUUAAAAAUUCAGCCGGACUAUGAGAGCCUUCCACCAUUAAAGUGAACAUUUUGAUAUUGUUUGUUUUUGUUCAAAGUAUACCUCGACUCGACAUGACCGAUAUUGACAAUGACGAGAACGGCACGUUGCACGAGUUUUCUGAAAGAAGUGUUUUAUCGAAUCUUUCUGAAUUCGAUCAUGUACACCUUGCUGGUGCAUUAGCAGAAAUUGCUGGUGCUCAUUGUGAGCGAUUGCGUAUGAUCACUCAAUCAUAA